AGAGUUUGAUCCUGGCUCAGGAUGAACGCUGGCGGCGUGCCUAACACAUGCAAGUCGAGCGGAGAUAUUUGGAGUACUUGUACAAAGGAUAUCUUAGCGGCGGACGGGUGAGUAACACGUGAGCAAUCUGCCUUUUACUGGGGAAUAACACUGGGAAACCAUUGCUAAUACCGCAUAACGUCUUUUUCCGGCAUCGGGAGAAGACCAAAGGAGAAAUCCGGUAAAAGAUGAGCUCGCGUCCGAUUAGGUAGCUGGUGAGGUAACGGCCCACCAAGCCUACGAUCGGUAGCCGGACUGAGAGGUUGAACGGCCACAUUGGGACUGAGACACGGCCCAGACUUCUACGGGAGGCAGCAGUGGGGAAUAUUGGGCAAUGGGGGAAACCCUGACCCAGCAACGCCGCGUGAAGGAUGAAGGCUUUCGGGUUGUAAACUUCUUUGAUCAGGGACGAAAAAAAUGACGGUACCUGAAGAACAAGCCACGGCUAACUACGUGCUAGCAGCCGCGGUAAUACGUAGGUGGCGAACGUUAUCCGGAUUUACUGGGUGUAAAGGGCGUGUAGGCGGGUCUGCAAGUCGGAUGUGAAAUUCCCAGGCUUAACUUGGGCGGGUCAUCCGAAACUGCGGAUCUUGAGUACUGGAGAGGAUAGUGGAAUUCCUAGUGUAGCGGUAAAAUGCGUANAUNUUANGAGGAACACNNNUGGCGAAGGCGGCUAUCUGGACAGUAACUGACGCUGAGGCGCGAAAGCGUGGGGAGCAAACAGGANUANAUACCCUGNUAGUCCACGCCGUAAACGAUGANUACUAGGUGUAGGGGGUAU
This 820-nucleotide ribosomal RNA is filed under the name uncultured bacterium. Its description in RNAcentral is "bacterial SSU rRNA". It matches the Rfam family "Bacterial small subunit ribosomal RNA", at positions 8 to 832 of the family's 1533-position model. The record is from RNAcentral.